UAUAAUUUUCAGUGGACAAAUUAGUGCU
This 28-nucleotide non-coding RNA is filed under the name Mus musculus (house mouse). Lineage: Eukaryota; Metazoa; Chordata; Mammalia; Rodentia; Muridae. The record is from RNAcentral.